CAGUACUAUGUUGUGGACGAAAGCUGGACUGAAAUGGGCCAAAGAAAUUAUUUGCCACUAGGAAAGUGUCACGAUUCACACUGGGAGCAGGGGACGAGGAGACCGAGGAGACGAGGAGUAAAGCAAAUUCCAAAGUCUUUAAUGAAAACAAAGCUGGGAACACAGGAACACAGGAAACACAGAACACGAAAUGACAUUUAACAGCGGAUGGGAAAUGAGGUGCAGAACACACUUUAAAUACACAGAAACGAAUGGGACACACCUGGGAUCAAAUAAAAGGAGGCAAACGAGAUAAUUAAACACAGCUGGAACCAAUAGAACUAAAUAGGGACAGGAAAAACCAAAUAUGGGCAUAAUAAUCAAACUGGAGAACGUGGGGGAGGAAAACACAACACGAGACAUGGAACAGAGUCUGACAGAAAGACUUGAAGCUGGGAAGCUACAGUAGUCUCCAAUAAUUUAGCAAUAAAUGCUGAAAGGGAAGACCAAAGGAAGGCCUGUCAUGGGGUUUGAAUUUGGCCAUACUGUGUGUUUACGGAGAAGACCAAAAGCUGCAAAGGAAAACACUUCCAAUGAUUGUGCCCAUUGAUUUCUCACAGAUUACUAAAUCCUUCUCCAUCAGCUCUCCACAAUAUCAGCCCUGCCAAAAUCUUCCACAUCUCUCUCUCUCUCUCGUGUGGCACUUCUGCUCUCAGUCCUUUACUGCCAACUUCUUAGCAUGUCUACUUAUAUAUAUAGAUAUAUUCUUGAUGAAAAUUAUAAUUUACUAUAAUUGUUAA
This 779-nucleotide long non-coding RNA is filed under the name Sinocyclocheilus anshuiensis. RNAcentral's name for it is "lncRNA (ENSSANG00000027458.1)". Lineage: Eukaryota; Metazoa; Chordata; Actinopteri; Cypriniformes; Cyprinidae. The record is from RNAcentral.